GAGCAACGAUCCUUGGCGCAGCCCGCCGCAGCCUUGCUUCCCUUCUUCCCCACCACCACUACAAGGCAACUCUUUCUUCACCGUUGUCGUUGUUUCCCCGGCCAGCGACCUUCGACCACCGCUCGACCUUCUCGCUGCUCCAUCUCGUUCAAAAAAAAAAAAAAACACGAGAGGAAGAAAAGCCGCAGCCACCCCUGCGUCCCUUGCUUCCGGCCAGCCUACCCACCACUGCUGCUCUCCGGCCAGCGCCCACCAUCGCCCCGCUUCCCGGCCGGUGACCACAACCGCCGUUGUUCCUCGGCUAGGAGACGACGCUGCCAGCGUCCAUCCCAACCCUACUACCGCCG
RNAcentral lists this long non-coding RNA (347 nucleotides) under Musa acuminata (dwarf banana). RNAcentral describes it as "long non-coding RNA (MACU_LNC004623)". Lineage: Eukaryota; Viridiplantae; Streptophyta; Magnoliopsida; Zingiberales; Musaceae. The record is from RNAcentral.